GCGACCUCACCUCAGGCGGGGCU
This 23-nucleotide ribosomal RNA is filed under the name Brownea coccinea. RNAcentral describes it as "partial 26S ribosomal RNA". The record is from RNAcentral. Lineage: Eukaryota; Viridiplantae; Streptophyta; Magnoliopsida; Fabales; Fabaceae.